AGCUGUGUGGUGAUCACAAAGCGAAUUAUUCUUUCGCCUUUUACUAAAGAAUACCGUGUGAUCGUUACUUUAAACAGCAUACGCUAAUUUUUGAAGGGUGCUUUUGCAGUGAAAGCCC
Zingiber officinale is the source of this 118-nucleotide small nuclear RNA. RefSeq annotates it as U5 spliceosomal RNA. NCBI's taxonomy places the organism in Eukaryota, Viridiplantae, Streptophyta, Magnoliopsida, Zingiberales, Zingiberaceae. The transcript has a single exon. The record is from RefSeq and is a predicted model, not a curated record.